This 71-nucleotide transfer RNA is filed under the name Loxodonta africana (African savanna elephant). It matches the Rfam family "tRNA". From Rfam's summary of the family: Transfer RNA (tRNA) molecules are approximately 80 nucleotides in length. Their secondary structure includes four short double-helical elements and three loops (D, anti-codon, and T loops). Further hydrogen bonds mediate the characteristic L-shaped molecular structure. tRNAs have two regions of fundamental functional importance: the anti-codon, which is responsible for specific mRNA codon recognition, and the 3' end, to which the tRNAs corresponding amino acid is attached (by aminoacyl-tRNA synthetases). tRNAs cope with the degeneracy of the genetic code in two manners: having more than one tRNA (with a specific anti-codon) for a particular amino acid; and 'wobble' base-pairing, i.e. permitting non-standard base-pairing at the 3rd anti-codon position. Lineage: Eukaryota; Metazoa; Chordata; Mammalia; Proboscidea; Elephantidae. The record is from Rfam by way of RNAcentral.
GCAGUGGUGGUUCAGUGGUAUAAUUCUCACCUUUCAUGUGAGAAACCCAGGUUCGAUUCCCGGCCAGUGCA